RNAcentral lists this ribosomal RNA (266 nucleotides) under uncultured prokaryote. RNAcentral describes it as "partial 16S ribosomal RNA". It matches the Rfam family "Bacterial small subunit ribosomal RNA", at positions 524 to 789 of the family's 1533-position model. The record is from RNAcentral.
UACGUAGGUGGCGAGCGUUAUCCGGAAUUAUUGGGCGUAAAGAGCGCGCAGGUGGUUGAUUAAGUCUGAUGUGAAAGCCCACGGCUUAACCGUGGAGGGUCAUUGGAAACUGGUCGACUUGAGUGCAGAAGAGGGAAGUGGAAUUCCAUGUGUAGCGGUGAAAUGCGUAGAGAUAUGGAGGAACACCAGUGGCGAAGGCGGCUUCCUGGUCUAUUAUUGACGCUGAGGCUCGAAAGCGUGGGGAGCAAACAGGAUUAGAUACCCGU